GUACGGGAGGCAGCAGUAGGGAAUAUUGGGCAAUGGGCGCAAGCCUGACCCAGCCAUGCCGCGUGCAGGAAGACGGCCCUCUGGGUUGUAAACUGCUUUUGACGGGGAAGAAACGACUCUUGCGAGAGGCAUUGACGGUACCCGCAGAAUAAGCACCGGCUAACUCCGUGCCAGCAGCCGCGGUAAUACGGAGGGUGCAAGCGUUGUCCGGAUUUAUUGGGUUUAAAGGGUGCGUAGGCGGUCUGGUAAGUCGGCGAUGAAAGCCCGGGGCUCAACCCCGGAACUGUCGUCGAUACUGUCGGACUUGAGUACGGUUGAGGCUGGCGGAAUGGGCGGUGUAGCGGUGAAAUGCAUAGAUACCGUCCAGAACCCCGAUUGCGAAGGCAGCUGGCUAAGCCGUAACUGACGCUGAGGCACGAAAGCGUGGGGAGCGAACAGGAUUAGAUACCCCGGUAGU
Molecule: ribosomal RNA, 457 nt
Filed under: uncultured bacterium
Lineage: Bacteria
Description: bacterial SSU rRNA
Rfam family: Bacterial small subunit ribosomal RNA
Source: RNAcentral